UCUUUCUUUCUUCUUUCUUUCAAUCUUUCUUUCUUUAUUCUUUCUCUCUUUCUCUCUCUCUCUCUCUUUUGACACAGUCUCACUCCGUUGCCCAGGCUGGAGUGCAGAGACGCAAUCUCAGCUCACUGCAACCUCUGCCUCCCAGGUUCAAGCAAUUCUCCUGCCUCAGCCUCCUGAGUAGCUGGGAUUACAGGCACUCGCCACCACAUCUAGCUGAUUUUUGUUUUUUUAGUAGAGGUGGGGUUUUGCCAAGUGGCCAGGCUGGUCUCAAACUCCUGACCUCAGGUAAUCCGCCCACCUCUGCCUCCCAAAGUGCUGGGAUUACAAGCGUGAACUGCCACACCUGGCUCAUUCAUUCAUUUAUUCAUCUGUGUGAGGCAAACCACAAGUCAUCAGUGUCACAGCAAAACAAAAACAGACACACAACAGAAGAAACCACGCUGGUGAGGUCAGCAGGGGACAGGGAGACCCUCCCUGCAGGAGCUGCUGCUAGAGGGAAAGGCAGCGUUGGAUCCGAUGCCGGCCCCAGCCUGGGAGACCUGCUUCCUCUGCGGCCUGUGUUCAGGAGCGAAGUGUUGAGACCAGAAUUGUUCGGAUGCAGGGCUGGUCCCUGUUGAUUUAUGACUCAGGUGGAAGAUAGCGGAGACUAUGCAGGGAGGCUCAGCUGCACCUGACACACAACAGAGGUUCUCCAGGAACAGGAGAUGAAUGAGUACAAAAUCAAAGAGGUGAUUUCCCUCUUCCUCCAGGAGACAAACCCAGAAUUGCAAAGAUCCCUCGAUGAACUAAUGUAACCAUAUUAGGCAAACUGCACCCCCUUUUCUGUCUUUCGUUCUCCCCCAGGCACACUUGCCAGCUUCCUCUUUCUACGUCGUCCUGGGCAUAUCCAGCCUUCAUCAUGAAGUCGUGUCUAUUUUCCACUUGCACACUUUCCUGGAAGACUCUUGGACAGCGUAUCAAGAUCUCUCAUUUUCUGGCUUGAACUCACUGCAGACUCAUCUUGUGGCAAGGCUCACCACCCACCAUGCCGGGCCUUGUCAGUGCCCUGGGGCAGCGUGGAUGGGCCGCCCACGCUUUCAACUAACAGACGGCAGCAAAGGCCAUCACCUCCUUCUGAAGGAAUCAGAAGUUGGAACCAGGCCAGUGUAGGGUGGGACCAGAACUGAUGCCUGAACACAUGACCACAGACUGUCCUUGCUGUUGGAGAGCUGGGGACUGCGCCAUAGGAGGCUGUGUGGUUAUCGCCUAUGAGCCCCCAAGACCUUCAUUUCCUCAUCUGCCUUUACUUUGUGUCUCCUCUGAACGUGAUCCUGUGUUCUGGGUUUUUUUUUUUUUUUUUUUUUGAAAUGGCAGCAUUUCAAAUAUGCUGUUUUUUACCAUCAAUCAUUUCUUGCCAGCUGGGUGCAGCGGGUGACACCUGUUAUCCCAGCACUUUGGGAGGGUUGGGGGGGGGGGUGGAUCACAAGGUCAAGAGUUCGAGACCAGCCUGGCCAACAUGGUGAAACCCCGUCUCUACUAAAAAUACAAACAUUAGCCAGGCGUGGUGGCCCGUGCCUGUAGUUCCAGCUACUCGGGAGGCUGAGUUACACGACUUGCUUGAACCCAGGAGGUGGAGGUUGCAGUGAGCCAAGAUUGUUCCACUGCACUCCAGCCUGGGUGAUAGAAUGAGAAUCUGUCUCAAAAAAAGAAAAAAAAAAAAGAAAAAAUGUUUCUUGCCUUGGUUUGAGUUGCCAGAAGCAAACUCUCGAUCAAGGGUUCGUGUAUCUGGGAGGUGAUCCCUGGCCACGCCUGUAGGAGGGUGGGAGGGGAGGCAUGGAAGGGAAGGGCCCAUUGAGGGCAUGUGAUCCCAACCAGCGCCAUUCAGGGCAUUUGGACCCAAAUCCCACUGGGGGCCCUGGACAACAGUUACCCCAGCUCCCUUCAGUCAGUGGCCGAGAGAUGUUCAGGGACAGCUGUGGCUGGGACCUGAUGAUCCACCAGCUCUGGGGCAAGGCACAGUCAGGCACAUUGAUGCCUCCUGGGCUCCAAGGGGCACCGUAGGAGGCUCAGGUGGUUGGGGGUGCUCCCAGGACAGAGGUGAGUGCUCCCAGGAGCAUGGAGGGGUGGGACUUUGAGAGUUACGCCAGGAAUCUGGGCAGGGAUCCUGCACGCCAAGGUGAGAGAAGCCAGAGCAGUACCAGGACCCAAGCCUCCUCUGGUGCCAGGCCCUGGCUGCACUACUCCUGUUCCCGCUCCUGUGCCCCUGCGAGGAGGACAUGCUGUUUACUGCUACUUGAGGCUCAAAGAGGGUAUCUAUGACCUGUCAGUGAACGGACCAGAGUAUAGGGAAGUGGAUGGGAGAGGGGCUGGAGGGGCAGGGCAGCUGCUGAGGGGCCUUGCUUGUCAUGGUAAGUGCCACUGUGUGAUGCUGGGUCCUGGACUCUGAAAGCCAGGGAGAAACACUUGCCUGGACUUUAUCCUAUAGGUGGGCAGUAUCCACCGAGGGCUUUGUUCAGAGCAUAGAGUGAUAAAAACUGGGCUUUGGGCCAGCAGAAGGCCGUGAAUGAGGUUCCCAUCACCUGUGCCCUACCUCGCCUUGGCUGUCCACUGGUCAAUCGCCUCCUGGGGCUGUCCCCACAGAACUCUGCCAGCAUCCCUGGCAAGCAUGUGUUUGGCAUGGGCUCGUGGCCAGGUGUGCUUGUGUACACAUGUGUGAGCAGUGAUGCAUAUCAGAGCCCCUGAGAUGCAUAUUUUCUUCAAGAUCAGAUACAGAGAUGUGAACUCACAGAGCUCCGUGGGGAGCAGGGAGGGGACUGAACAUGAGUGAUAUUAGCCAAACCCAACUCCCACUUUAUUUUUUCAUGCCUGCAAAUAAUAAUACCUUUUCAGUCUUGUGAAACCUGGUACUCUAGGAAAAAGACACAGAGGUUUAAGAAGCCCUGAGUACGGUUUUGGCCAAGCACCCCUUCCUAGAUUCCUCUCCAGCAUUCUGAGACUUGGAGAGAAGAGAGGGAGAAGGCUCCAGCUGUCAUUCUCUGUAUUGUCCAUUUCUUCUCCCCGGUUCCACAUUCAUUCCCUAACAUCCCUCUGCAAGUUGCUUUUCAUUUAAACACCGCACGUAAAAGCACAGUGUCUGGUUUGGGUAGCACAGGUCGUCUAUUGCAAAAGGAUGUCUAAGAGGGAUGACUAGAGUGUGCUUUGGGGGAUUUGCCAAGGGGGCCUGAAACCAAGGAACAGAUACAAAGCCUGUGGGACCUGUGAAGCCCUAAGCUGGAAACAGCAGUUAGGGGAGAAAGAUCUUUGAUAUAUUCCAAUCAGACCAAGUCAAGAUGAGCUCAAAGUCACGUCUUGAUACAUGUCUGAAAAGACAAAAGUCUGUCUUUAAUCCUGUAUCUUUCUCUGUUAAAACUUUUCUUAUUUGUUUAUUUAUUUAUUUAUUAGACGGAGUCUUGCUUUGUCACCCAGGCUGGAGCGCAGUGGCACAAUCUCGGCUCACGGCAACCUCUACCUCUCGGGUUCAAGCAAUUCUCCUGCUUCAGCCUCCUGAGUAGCUGAGAUUAUAGGUGUGCAUCACCACGCCUGGCUAAUUUUUUCUUUUCUUUUUUUGUAUUUUCAGUAGAGACAGAGUUUUGCCAUGCUGGCCAGGCUGGUCUCAAACUCCUGACCUCAAGUGAUCUGCCCACCUCGGUCUCCUAAAGUGCUGAGAUUAUAGGUGUGAGCCACCGUGCCAUGCCCAGCCUUCUCCUUUAUUUUAAAGCAACUCCUUUUCCCUACAUCCUUGGCCCUCCCCACCAUCCACCCAUCUGUGACCUUGUGGACCCUUAGCUCCCCUGCUCCACCAAAACUUAUUCAAAGGAAAAAGAAAGAAAAAGAAAAAAAUGGAUGUCAGUCAUUUACAUGUUAGUAUACAUAAGCUAUGGAAGCUAUGGAAGGAUUCCGUCUCUGGGCUGAGCUUGGCCUUUUGGUACCAGUUGUUUCAGGGCUUGACCCAGCAGGUGAGCUGUAGCUGAGCCUGUCUAUAGCUGUGUUGGCUCCUGCCUGGGGUAGAUGUAAACACUUUUUCAGUUGCAAACUCAUCAAAGGUGUUUGUGCACACAUGUGUGCAUGUGCGUUGUGUCCACGCCUGUGUGCCUGAAACCCUGCCCGGGUCGCCCUCCAGAAAGGAAGCAAGUGUGCAUUCACACAUUGGAACAAGCCAGCCAUGUCUCUCCGUAACAGGAGAGGAAGCGGGGACUCCAGCAUGUUUUUUUUAAAUGGUAGUGGGCACUGACUCAAAGAUGCCUGUUAAGAAAAACUCCAUGUUCAUCUCUCUGCUGACUCGUUUGGUGAGAAUUACAAACCCAGAUGCCAACAUGUGGCCAACCGCAUGACCCUGCACUGAGGAAUAAAAGACAGGAUCAUCUGAGUUCUUAUGUGAACAAACAACAGAGAUUCAGUUACAUUUUCUCUCCGUGUUUUUUUUUUUUUUAUGUCAGGGAUUUCAGCAGCUCCAGAUUAGGCAUUCUGUGUGACACUCUUGUGUCAGCAGCUCCAGAUUGGAGGGAAGAGGCCACACGCUGGCACCUCUGUG
Molecule: long non-coding RNA, 4549 nt
Filed under: Macaca nemestrina (pig-tailed macaque)
Lineage: Eukaryota; Metazoa; Chordata; Mammalia; Primates; Cercopithecidae
Description: lncRNA (ENSMNEG00000045954.1)
Source: RNAcentral